AAAUAACAGCCACAAUAGCUAUGACACCAAAUAUGAAAAACACGUUUCCAGCUCCCACCAACUCCUGCAUCCACCAAUAUAAUAAAAAUUAGAGAACAAGCCAGCUAAGAUCACAAGACGGGAUUUAAUCCAAUAUUGAAUGAUCAAUCAAUAACUCGAUCUCAACGAUUUGAGUACCUCCAUAGGAGAAAAUGCAAAUGUCACGAGAGCGUUGGUUCCGAAGUUGACAAGAACCGCAAUGCUCAAACCACGCCCUCUCACUCUCAGAGGAAAGAUCUCCGAAAUCAUCAACCAACCAAUUGGACCAAAA
Molecule: long non-coding RNA, 310 nt
Organism: Ipomoea triloba (trilobed morning glory)
Lineage: Eukaryota; Viridiplantae; Streptophyta; Magnoliopsida; Solanales; Convolvulaceae
Exons: 2
Source: RefSeq, a predicted model, not a curated record